Molecule: transfer RNA, 80 nt
Filed under: Caudoviricetes sp.
Lineage: Duplodnaviria; Heunggongvirae; Uroviricota; Caudoviricetes
Description: tRNA-OTHER
Rfam family: tRNA
About the family: Transfer RNA (tRNA) molecules are approximately 80 nucleotides in length. Their secondary structure includes four short double-helical elements and three loops (D, anti-codon, and T loops). Further hydrogen bonds mediate the characteristic L-shaped molecular structure. tRNAs have two regions of fundamental functional importance: the anti-codon, which is responsible for specific mRNA codon recognition, and the 3' end, to which the tRNAs corresponding amino acid is attached (by aminoacyl-tRNA synthetases). tRNAs cope with the degeneracy of the genetic code in two manners: having more than one tRNA (with a specific anti-codon) for a particular amino acid; and 'wobble' base-pairing, i.e. permitting non-standard base-pairing at the 3rd anti-codon position.
Source: RNAcentral
GGCCCUGUAAGCAAAUUGGUAAAGCUGCUUAUAUGUUCUAGGUUCAUAAGUGUGUGAAGGUUCGAGUCCUUCCAUGGCCA